CGGGGCGUAGCGCAGUUCGGUAGCGCGCACGGUUCGGGACCGUGAGGCCGGAGGUUCAAACCCUCUCGCCCCGACCA
This 77-nucleotide transfer RNA is filed under the name Nitrospirota bacterium. Its description in RNAcentral is "Nitrospirae bacterium (sediment metagenome) tRNA-Pro". It matches the Rfam family "tRNA". Rfam says of the family: Transfer RNA (tRNA) molecules are approximately 80 nucleotides in length. Their secondary structure includes four short double-helical elements and three loops (D, anti-codon, and T loops). Further hydrogen bonds mediate the characteristic L-shaped molecular structure. tRNAs have two regions of fundamental functional importance: the anti-codon, which is responsible for specific mRNA codon recognition, and the 3' end, to which the tRNAs corresponding amino acid is attached (by aminoacyl-tRNA synthetases). tRNAs cope with the degeneracy of the genetic code in two manners: having more than one tRNA (with a specific anti-codon) for a particular amino acid; and 'wobble' base-pairing, i.e. permitting non-standard base-pairing at the 3rd anti-codon position. The record is from RNAcentral. Lineage: Bacteria; Pseudomonadati; Nitrospirota.